GACGAACGCUGGCGGCGUGCUUAACACAUGCAAGUCGAACGGCAAGGCCCUGCUUUUGUGGGGUUCUCGAGUGGCGAACGCGUGAGUAACACGUGAGUAACCUGCCCUUCACUUUGGGAUAACUUCAGGAAACUGGGGCUAAUACCGGAUCGGAGCUCCUGCUGCAUGGUGGGGGUUGGAAAGUUUAGGCGGGUGGGGAUGGACGCGCGGCUUAUCAGCUUGCUGGUGGGGUAGUUGCUUACCCAGGCUGUGACGGGUAGCCGGCCUGAGAGGGGGACCGGCGACAAGGGGCCUGAGAGACGGACCAGAGUCGUACGGGAGGCAGUAGGGGGGAAUAUGGCACAAUGGGAGGAAGUCGGAUGAGGCAACGCCGGGUGCGGGAUGACGGCCUGCGGGGUGUAAACAGCUGUCGCCUGUGACGAAGCGUGAGUGACGGUAAUGGGUAAAGAAGCACCGGCUAACUACGUG
This 468-nucleotide ribosomal RNA is filed under the name uncultured bacterium. RNAcentral describes it as "partial 16S ribosomal RNA". It matches the Rfam family "Bacterial small subunit ribosomal RNA", at positions 28 to 507 of the family's 1533-position model. The record is from RNAcentral.